AAUACUCCUUGUAAAGAAUACGCAGUAAGUACAAAAAAAUCCACACGUCUGUUAUGAUACAAAACACAGGUUGAAAUAAAUGAUAAUUUUGACUUUUUUUCUUGUGUAAACAUGUUAACCAUUUUUCCUUUUCAUGAAAAAGUACACCAGACAAGUGUCCUCAAAUAAAAAAGAAUUGCUUCGCUGGCAUUCUUCAAGACCUUUACUAUUUUUGUAUUAUUCUUUUGACCAUUAUUUUUUAACGCCUGGACCUGAGAAUCUCUACACCUCAAAAAGGCUUAGUUGUUUUUCAUCUGCCAAACGUCAAGGGAGCCUCUAGUGCCUGGACAGGGCGGACUCCCUUCCCCGGCACCCUCUUCCUCCCUACCCCAGGUCGGGGGUUGGGGGGCUGUAGCAUAGCGUUAUUAACAAUUGGAAAUCCUAG
Molecule: long non-coding RNA, 424 nt
Organism: Homo sapiens (human)
Lineage: Eukaryota; Metazoa; Chordata; Mammalia; Primates; Hominidae
Gene: FOXD1-AS1
Product: FOXD1 antisense RNA 1
Source: Ensembl